Molecule: long non-coding RNA, 624 nt
Organism: Cebus imitator (Panamanian white-faced capuchin)
Lineage: Eukaryota; Metazoa; Chordata; Mammalia; Primates; Cebidae
Exons: 4
Source: RefSeq, a predicted model, not a curated record
CCAGUCCCAGGUCCCAACUCCGGAAGGGUACGGCUCUAAGCCUGCACCUCCCUUUGCCAUAGCAACCGCUGGCUGCCCCUCCCUUCUGCCUUUUGAGCACGUGGCACCAGGACCCCGCGAUCUCUCCAGCUCGAAAGCCAGGUCUGGCCCAGAGCCGGGCUCAUCAGUAUUCCGCCCGCGGCGCCCACCCCCCUACCCUUCGCGGUGCCUCACCAGAUCAAAACUGCUUGGACAGCUGAAUCUCCACAUGGAAAGCAGUUAUCAGAAUCAUUGAGUCACUGCCUGGAGAACAACAAAGGAGAAAUUAACUUUGGUUGUGAAGAUGUUAGAGGUUCUACAGUUUUCAGACUCCAGGACUUACAUUAGCACCUCAUACCGUAAUCCCAGCCCAGGUUCUUAGGGCUUAGACUUGGACUGAAUGACAUCACCAGCAUUCCUACUUUUGCUGCUUGCAAAUGGAUCAUGUGACACAUCUUGGCCUCCAUAAUGAUGUCUUCCACUAUUGUUGUAUAGCAGAGCAGUCAAUCAAAUGUCACCUCAGAGCCAUAUGCAAUCAAGCCUGGUAAAACUACUUGUACAGGUAUUAAGAGUCAAUCUGAGCAAAUAAACCAUUAAUUGAAUAAA